RNAcentral lists this ribosomal RNA (111 nucleotides) under uncultured eukaryote. RNAcentral describes it as "partial small subunit ribosomal RNA". It matches the Rfam family "Bacterial small subunit ribosomal RNA", at positions 1417 to 1525 of the family's 1533-position model. The record is from RNAcentral.
GCUCCAGAAGUGGCUGAGCCAACCCGCAAGGGAGGCAGGCCCCCAAGGAGUGGCUGGUAACUGGGGUGAAGUCGUAACAAGGUAGCCGUAGGUGAACCUGCAGAAGGAUCA